GGAGGUAUAGCUCAAUGGUAGAGUGUAUGGUUAGCAUGCACAUGCCCCUCCUUGGGUUUAAUCCCUAGUACCACCC
Molecule: transfer RNA, 76 nt
Filed under: Ictidomys tridecemlineatus (thirteen-lined ground squirrel)
Lineage: Eukaryota; Metazoa; Chordata; Mammalia; Rodentia; Sciuridae
Description: Spermophilus tridecemlineatus (thirteen-lined ground squirrel) tRNA
Rfam family: tRNA
About the family: Transfer RNA (tRNA) molecules are approximately 80 nucleotides in length. Their secondary structure includes four short double-helical elements and three loops (D, anti-codon, and T loops).
Source: Rfam by way of RNAcentral